Molecule: long non-coding RNA, 1877 nt
Filed under: Salmo salar (Atlantic salmon)
Lineage: Eukaryota; Metazoa; Chordata; Actinopteri; Salmoniformes; Salmonidae
Description: lncRNA (ENSSSAG00000102827.1)
Source: RNAcentral
GCGGUCUGUAGCAGUUGAGGGCGGUCUGUAACAGUCUGUAACAGCCGAGGGCGGUCUGUAGCAGUCUGUAGCAGUCGAGGGCGGUCUGUAACAGCCGAGGGCGGUCUGUAGCAGUUGAGGGCGGUCUGUAGCAGUCGAGGGUGGUCUGGGGUGGUCUGUAACAGCCGAGGGCGGUCUGUAGCAGUUGAGGGCGGUCUGUAGCAGUAGAGGGUGGUCUGUAGCAGUUGAGGGCGGUCUGUAACAGUCUGUAGCAGCCGAGAGCGGUCUGUAACAGUCUGUAGCAGUUGAGGGCGGUCUGUAGCAGUCGAGGGCGGUCUGUAGCAGUCGAGGGCGGUCUGUAGCAGUUGAGGGCGGUCUGUAACAGUCUGUAGCAGCCGAGAGCGGUCUGUAACGGUCUGUAGCAUUUGAGGGCGGUCUGUAGCAGUCGAGGGCGGUCUGUAGCAGUUGAGGGUGGUCUGUAUCAGUCGAGGGCGGUCUGUAGCAGUCGAGGGCGGUCUGUAGCAGUCUGUUGCAGCCGAGGGCGGUCUGUAGCAGCCGAGGGCGGUCUGUAACAGCUGAGGGCGGUCUGUAACAGUCUGUAGCAGUUGAGGGCGGUCUGUAGCAGUCGAGGGCGGUCUGUACCAGUCUGUAGCAGCCAAGGGCGGUCUGUAGCAGCCAAGGGCGGUCUGUAGCAGUCUGUAGCAGUCGAGGGCGGUCUGUAGCAGUUGAGGGCGGUCUGUAGCAGUUGAGGGCGGUCUGUAACAGUCUGUAGCAGUUGAGGGCGGUCUGUAACAGUCUGUAACAGCCGAGGGCAGUCUGUAACAGUCGAGGGCGGUCUGUAACAGUCUGUAACAGCCGAGGGCGGUCUGUAGCAGUCGAGGGCGGUCUGUAGCAGUUGAGGGCGGUCUGUAGCAGUCGAGGGCGGUCUGUAGCAGUCGAGGGCGGUCUGUAGCAGUCUGUUGCAGCCGAGGGCGGUCUGUAGCAGCCGAGGGCGGUCUGUAACAGUCUGUAGCAGUCGAGGGCGGUCUGUAGCAGCCGAGGGCGGUCUGUAACAGCUGAGGGCGGUCUGUAACAGUCUGUAGCAGUUGAGGGCGGUCUGUAGCAGUCGAGGGCGGUCUGUACCAGUCUGUAGCAGCCAAGGGCGGUCUGUAGCAGCCAAAGGCGGUCUGUAGCAGUCUGUAGCAGUCGAGGGCGGUCUGUAGCAGUUGAGGGCGGUCUGUAGCAGUUGAGGGCGGUCUGUAGCAGUUGAGGGCGGUCUGUAACAGUCUGUAGCAGUUGAGGGCGGUCUGUAGCAGUCGAGGGCGGUCUGUAACAGUCUGUAACAGCCGAGGGCGGUCUGUAACAGUCGAGGGCGGUCUGUAACAGUCUGUAACAGCCGAGGGCGGUCUGUAACAGCCGAGGGCGGUCUGUAACAGUCUGUAACAGCCGAGGGCGGUCUGUAGCAGUCGAGGGCGGUCUGUAACAGUCGAGGGCGGUCUGUAACAGUCUGUAACAGCCGAGGGCGGUCUGUAACAGCCGAGGGCGGUCUGUAACAGUCUGUAACAGUCGAGGGCGGUCUGUAGCAGUCGAGGGCGGUCUGUAACAGUCGAGGGCGGUGGGAGACCUUAUAUACGUUCACUUUAACCGCAAGCAAUUCAAAAUGUUUUGGCUUUGGUAAUCGAGGGAAUUGGAUGGUCAGUCCUUGCAUCCAUAGCUCUGUCUAAUGGAUUUGAGUGUGGUUACAUUUCUUCAGGCCCAUCCUUUUUAUUUUUUUACUUUUUAUUUCCCCUUUAUUUAAUCAGGUAGGCCAGUUGAGAACAAGUUCUCAUUUACAACUGCAACCUGGCCAAGAUAAAGCAAAGCAGUACGACACAAACAACAAUACAGAGUUACACAUGGAAUAAACAAAUGUACAGUCA